Molecule: ribosomal RNA, 253 nt
Filed under: uncultured bacterium
Lineage: Bacteria
Description: partial 16S ribosomal RNA
Rfam family: Bacterial small subunit ribosomal RNA
Source: RNAcentral
GACGUAGGGCGCGAGCGUUGUCCGGAUUUAUUGGGCGUAAAGAGCUCGUAGGCGGCUUGUCGCGUCGUCCGUGAAAACCUGCAGCUCAACUGCAGGCUUGCGGUCGAUACGGGCAGGCUGGAGUUCGGUAGGGGAGACUGGAAUUCCUGGUGUAGCGGUGAAAUGCGCAGAUAUCAGGAGGAACACCGGUGGCGAAGGCAGGUCUCUGGGCAUUAACUGACGCUGAGGAGCGAAAGCAUGGGGAGCGAACAGG